This 497-nucleotide ribosomal RNA is filed under the name uncultured bacterium. RNAcentral describes it as "partial 16S ribosomal RNA". It matches the Rfam family "Bacterial small subunit ribosomal RNA", at positions 28 to 507 of the family's 1533-position model. The record is from RNAcentral.
GAUGAACGCUGGCGGCGUGCCUAAUACAUGCAAGUCGAGCGAACAGACGAGGAGCUUGCUCCUCUGACGUUGGCGGCGGACGGGUGAGUAACACGUGGAUAACCUACCUAUAAGACUGGGAUAACUUCGGGAAACCGGAGCUAAUACCGGAUAAUAUAUUGAACCGCAUGGUUCAAUAGUGAAAGACGGUUUUGCUGUCACUUAUAGAUGGAUCCGCGCCGCAUUAGCUAGUUGGUAAGGUAACGGCUUACCAAGGCAACGAUGCGUAGCCGACCUGAGAGGGUGAUCGGCCGCACUGGAACUGAGACACGGUCCAGACUCCUACGGGAGGCAGCAGUAGGGAAUCUUCCGCAAUGGGCGAAAGCCUGACGGAGCAACGCCGCGUGAGUGAUGAAGGUCUUCGGAUCGUAAAACUCUGUUAUUAGGGAAGAACAAAUGUGUAAGUAACUAUGCACGUCUUGACGGUACCUAAUCAGAAAGCCACGGCUAACUACGUG